RNAcentral lists this ribosomal RNA (305 nucleotides) under uncultured bacterium. RNAcentral describes it as "bacterial SSU rRNA". It matches the Rfam family "Bacterial small subunit ribosomal RNA", at positions 337 to 662 of the family's 1533-position model. The record is from RNAcentral.
UCCUACGGGGGGCAGCAGGGAAUAUUGCACAAUGGGGGAAACCCUGAUGCAGCGACGCCGCGUGAAGGAAGAAGUAUUUCGGUAUGUAAACUUCUAUCAGCAGGGAAGAAAAUGACGGUACCUGACUAAGAAGCCCCGGCUAACUACGUGCCAGCAGCCGCGGUAAUACGUAGGGGGCAAGCGUUAUCCAGAUUUACUGGGUGUAAAGGGAGCGUAGGCGGUGCAGCAAGUCAGAAGUGAAAGCCCGGGGCUCAACUCCGGGACUGCUUUUGCAACUGUUGAACUAGAUUGCAGGAGCGGCAAGG